UUGUUAUCUCCCAGGAAAUUU
This 21-nucleotide non-coding RNA is filed under the name Caenorhabditis elegans. The record is from RNAcentral. Lineage: Eukaryota; Metazoa; Nematoda; Chromadorea; Rhabditida; Rhabditidae.